Molecule: ribosomal RNA, 503 nt
Filed under: uncultured bacterium
Lineage: Bacteria
Description: partial 16S ribosomal RNA
Rfam family: Bacterial small subunit ribosomal RNA
Source: RNAcentral
AUUGAACGCUGGCGGCAGGCUUAACACAUGCAAGUCGAGCGGGGUGAUGGUGCUUGCACUAUCACUUAGCGGCGGACGGGUGAGUAAUGCUUAGGAAUCUGCCUAUUAGUGGGGGACAACAUCUCGAAAGGGAUGCUAAUACCGCAUACGUCCUACGGGAGAAAGCAGGGGAUCACUUGUGACCUUGCGCUAAUAGAUGAGCCUAAGUCGGAUUAGCUAGUUGGUGGGGUAAAGGCCUACCAAGGCGACGAUCUGUAGCGGGUCUGAGAGGAUGAGCCGCCACACUGGGACGGAGACACGGCCCGGACUCCUACGGGAGGCAGCAGUGGGGAAUAUUGGACAAUGGGGGGAACCCUGAUCCAGCCAUGCCGCGUGUGUGAAGAAGGCCUUAUGGUUGUAAAGCACUUUAAGCGAGGAGGAGGCUCUUUUGGUUAAUACCCAAGAUGAGUGGGCGUUACUCGCAGAAUAAGCACCGGCUAACUCUGUGCCAGCAGCCGCAGUAA